UUGUGCCAGCAGCCGCGGUAAUACGAAGUCCGCUAGCGUUGUUCGGAAUUACUGGGCGUAAAGCGCACGUAGGCGGAUAUUUAAGUCAGGGGUGAAAUCCCAGAGCUCAACUCUGGAACUGCCUUUGAUACUGGGUAUCUUGAGUAUGGAAGAGGUAAGUGGAAUUGCGAGUGUAGAGGCGAAAUUCGUAGAUAUUCGCAGGAACACCAGUGGCGAAGGCGGCUUACUGGUCCAUAACUGACGCUGAGGUGCGAAAGCGGGGGGAGCAAACAGGAUUAGAUACCCUGGUAGUCCACGCCGUAAACGAUGAAUGUUAGCCGUCGGGCAGUUUACUGUUCGGUGGGACAGCUAAUUCAUUAAACAUUCCGCCUGGGGAGUACGCGCGCAAGAUUAAAACUCAAAGGUUCUGAAGGCGGGCCCCACAAGCGGGGGAGCAUGGGGUUUAAUUCAAAGCCCCGGUCAGAACCUUACAAGCCCUUGACAUGUCCGGGUAUCCAGAUGGACUUGGAGCUCCCUUCGGGGACUCGAACAAAGCAGCUGCAUGGCUGUCGUCAGCUCGUGUCGUCAGAAAGUUGGAAAAGUCACGCAACGAGGGCAACCCCUCCCCCUAUAGGUUGCAGCAUGCAGUUGGGCACUACUAGGAGGUACUGCCACUUACCAGCCCAGAACAAAGUGGGGAUGACGACAUGCCACUUGUCUCUACUGCUUGGGCUGCACACGCACUACCACGCUGAGGACAGUGAGCAGCUUAGUUAGCGAUACUGAGCUAAUCUACGAAAGCCACUCAUGUCAGAAUGCACUCUGCAGCUCGACGUCUCGAGUAGCUACUGUAGUAUCUCGACUCAUCACGGCACGUGAAUACGUUCCUGAGCGUGCUAUCAUCGCCCCUCCAUGUCG
RNAcentral lists this ribosomal RNA (897 nucleotides) under uncultured bacterium. Its description in RNAcentral is "bacterial SSU rRNA". It matches the Rfam family "Bacterial small subunit ribosomal RNA", at positions 503 to 1404 of the family's 1533-position model. The record is from RNAcentral.